GAGAACAUCGCCCUCGCGGGUGACUCUCCAACCCUAUGUUAUUGUACCUUUGUUGCUUUGGCGAGCCGCUUCGGCCACCGGCUCGCGCUGGUGAGUGCUCGCCAGAGGACCCAAACUCUAAUGUUUCUUAUUGUAACUUCUGAGUAAAACAAACAAAUAAAUCAAAACUUUCAACAACGGAUCUCUUGGUUCU
This 193-nucleotide unclassified non-coding RNA is filed under the name rhizosphere metagenome. RNAcentral's name for it is "partial ribosomal RNA internal transcribed spacer region". The record is from RNAcentral.